CAGGCUCGGAGGCUGGAGAGGCAGCUGGCAGCAGCGGAUGACACUGAAGCCAGCGGCGGCAGGAUAGCUCUAGUUUCUAAAGCCAG
RNAcentral lists this long non-coding RNA (86 nucleotides) under Callithrix jacchus (white-tufted-ear marmoset). RNAcentral's name for it is "lncRNA (ENSCJAG00000077872.1)". The record is from RNAcentral. Lineage: Eukaryota; Metazoa; Chordata; Mammalia; Primates; Cebidae.